RNAcentral lists this transfer RNA (74 nucleotides) under Parcubacteria group bacterium CG10_big_fil_rev_8_21_14_0_10_36_14. RNAcentral describes it as "tRNA-Pro". It matches the Rfam family "tRNA". From Rfam's summary of the family: Transfer RNA (tRNA) molecules are approximately 80 nucleotides in length. The record is from RNAcentral.
CGGGCUGUAGCGCAGUUGGCUAGCGCACCUCGUUUGGGACGAGGGGGUCGUGAGUUCGAGUCUCACCAGCCCGA